Molecule: ribosomal RNA, 620 nt
Filed under: uncultured Acinetobacter sp.
Lineage: Bacteria; Pseudomonadati; Pseudomonadota; Gammaproteobacteria; Moraxellales; Moraxellaceae
Description: partial 16S ribosomal RNA
Source: RNAcentral
GUACUCCCCAGGCGGUCUACUUAUCGCGUUAGCUGCGCCACUAAAGCCUCAAAGGCCCCAACGGCUAGUAGACAUCGUUUACGGCAUGGACUACCAGGGUAUCUAAUCCUGUUUGCUCCCCAUGCUUUCGCACCUCAGUGUCAGUAUUAGGCCAGAUGGCUGCCUUCGCCAUCGGUAUUCCUCCAGAUCUCUACGCAUUUCACCGCUACACCUGGAAUUCUACCAUCCUCUCCCAUACUCUAGCCAACCAGUAUCGAAUGCAAUUCCCAAGUUAAGCUCGGGGAUUUCACAUUUGACUUAAUUGGCCACCUACGCGCGCUUUACGCCCAGUAAAUCCGAUUAACGCUUGCACCCUCUGUAUUACCGCGGCUGCUGGCACAGAGUUAGCCGGUGCUUAUUCUGCGAGUAACGUCCACUAUCCAAGAGUAUUAAUCUCGGUAGCCUCCUCCUCGCUUAAAGUGCUUUACAACCAAAAGGCCUUCUUCACACACGCGGCAUGGCUGGAUCAGGGUUCCCCCCAUUGUCCAAUAUUCCCCACUGCUGCCUCCCGUAGGAGUCUGGGCCGUGUCUCAGUCCCAGUGUGGCGGAUCAUCCUCUCAGACCCGCUACAGAUCGUCGCC